CCGUACGAUAUGUAAGAGAACAAAUACACUGUGGCUAAUUCUACACUAGACUUAUUCUGUUGAUCUGUACAACAGUCGGUCCUUUUGUCAUAACUGUAUGUUGAGGGAAUCAUUUAAGAAUAGUGUAUCAAAGCCAAGGUUUAGAAUUUGCUAUGGGAGUAGAAUAUAUAUUGAAUUUUGUAUGAACUCUUUGUUUACAUUACAUAGCUGGGAUAUUUUGCCACUUUUAAAAUGAUUUCAGAAAAGGUCCUAGGAAACUGAGAUUAGUGAUAUAUGUGGGUUUAUGUGUAGAAAUUUAAGGUACAUUUUCAUAGUAUGAAACUGUCAGUAAAAGGCACAAUGGCUACAGCAGAAUUAAAGAUCUAACCAAUGCCAAGCCCACGUUAACUAUGUUUCUGGAUUUGAAUGUACACAGCACUUUUCCUAUACAGUUCUAUACAAAGAAAACUGAACUAGGUGUAACUAUGUUGUAGGAUUGAAGAAAUUAUUAUUUAUGUCUGUCUUUGUUUCUUGUUAUCCUACAAAGUUGAUGUGUAAACAUCAAGUUGAUUUCAUUGGUGCAUGAGGAAAAGUGGAUGUGAUCUGUAAGGAACCAGAGUCCCACAUGAGGAGUUUAAGAUGGCAUUCAAUAUUCAGUGCUCAGGUAUGUAGUAAGUACUGUAGUCCUAUGGGGCAAAUGUGUAGAUAUUUUUAAACAUUUUGCUGUAAUUGCACAAUUUUUGCAUUUUUACCUGAUGUCAUUGUUUCUUGUAAUAAAACCUUUUCUGAUUGAAAACUGCCAGUGUUGUAAACUGAUCUGAAGAAUGAUUUUUGCAAAAUUAAAAUUUGGUGAAAAUCACAAA
RNAcentral lists this long non-coding RNA (842 nucleotides) under Rattus norvegicus (Norway rat). Its description in RNAcentral is "long non-coding RNA NONRATT020745". The record is from RNAcentral. Lineage: Eukaryota; Metazoa; Chordata; Mammalia; Rodentia; Muridae.